GGACUUAGAAGUCACUCUGAUCACCUGACUGACCGUGAGUCCCACUGUAAGGCUUUCCUAGUCUCCCCUUGCCAUCCUUCCUAUCUACAUUUAUGGACGCAUUUCGCUCCCUGCCUCGACUCUGGUCCCCCCAGAGCUUCCUAGAGUCUUGCCCUGCCAGCACAGAACUCGCCACUUGGGAGAGGGCGCCCACCCUGGGGCGCGUUGCGUGAAAGCCUGGCAGCUACACCUCGCUUCUUCCUCCUCCUGCCCUCAGCCGCGGACCUUCACGCCACAUCCCCGCGCACCCGGCGACUCGGGUCGUCCCUGGCCUCGCGGGCCCCACCCCUCCCCAGGUCUACCCCGCGAUCGGGCGGGAGACAAGUUGAAUGGGAAGAUGGAGAUGGAUGUUGAGGGAGUUUCUCCGCGCCCGGAGCCCAUCCCCCGCUCCCAGGGGGCCGGCGGAGCCUGCCAGGCGCCGCCGCCGCGGACCCAGCCCCAGCCGCAGCGAGAGCAGCCGCGGGCUCAGGAUGAACUGCCCGGCGAGAGUGCAGGCGCUGGGGACGGCGAAGAUCCCGAGACGAGGUCCAGCGGCGAGAGAGGCGAGAGCAAGAGAUAGUGUGGACUGCAAGGUGAUGGGCGUGACCUCCAAGACUCCACAUCACUCACUGGCUGUGCAAGGCUUAUGCUACCCUUCCAGAGAGGCAGCAAGAAGGAAGCUUGAGGAGACCCCAUUCCUUGGCCAGAGAGAGGAUGGUUCUGGGGAGCUCCUGAAACACACUGAGGAAGGUGCUGCUGUUGCAUAAGACAGACACGCCGCUCCUUGAGCCAAGAAGCACCUAGAGUGGAAUUCAAGCCCAUCAUCCUUAUGGACUGACGUUCUCACCAUGACAGUUCUGAAUUGGACUGGUUUUCCUUGGGUCACUUACAUAAUGCACAAUUCUCUGUGACUUUGACUGAUUUGCUUUAUUUUUUCCUGUCUUUCUUUUCUUGGCCUGGGAAUCAUAAAAAAGAAUUGUUCUAUAUGGUAUGAUCUGUGAUGAAAUGAGCCUUGUUUAUGUUCUUAGGGAAUUUCUAAAUUGAAGUUCCAUGUUAAUUAGUAAACGUGCCCAUAUAGUUUGAUUUGUAUCUCGCCCAUUUUUAGAUUAAAAAUAUAUUUCCUUUUUUCUCAAAGUGUGGAUUUAGGUAAUGACCCAAGUCACAUUUGCUUAGCUACUGAAAAGAUCUCAAUGUGGUAGUGGUUGGAAUUAAAAUAUAAUCAAACAUACAUUAUACCUGAGGCUCUUACACACCAUUUGAUAUAAAUGUUAUACUGCAAAGGAACAUAAAUCUUACAGGUUGAAAUGUAAUUCCUCUUUGAUCAUGUAGGGAAAAUAGCAAAAAAUUAUGAAUAUCAAAAGUGGCUUUAAGUAUCACAAAUGUGAGCUAACCAACACUGGAACACUGGAAAGUUUCAAAAUGUCAUCAUCUAAGACAAAGCAGGAGUCGAAGAGCAACUGUCCUCAUCAGUGGUGUUGCUCUGGUGUCUCUGUGGCUUUUCUUACUUGAGGGAGGUAAAGAACUUGGCACAUUUCUGUGACUGGGUGUACAGAAGCUAUAGUACUUCUGACUGUUCUGUAACUGUGCCUGCCUAUCAAUAAAAUGUUUUCAGUUGACUCAGCAACAAUGUCUUUGUCAAUUUCCUCCAAAACUGUGUCCUUAGUGGUUUUGUAAGAAAGUCCAGUACAGACCUACAAGAGGUUCAUCUGUGAAAGAUCUCAUCUGGUUCCAGAGUUAUUGCUGUUCUAGAAGUUGCCUUACAGCUACAUAUUUUCUGUACACAGAACUGGAGUUGUAUAGUAGUC
This 1823-nucleotide long non-coding RNA is filed under the name Chinchilla lanigera (long-tailed chinchilla). RNAcentral describes it as "lncRNA (ENSCLAG00000028613.1)". Lineage: Eukaryota; Metazoa; Chordata; Mammalia; Rodentia; Chinchillidae. The record is from RNAcentral.